UGGGCGCAGCUGACGCAGCACGCCGCGUGAGUGAUGAAGGCCUUCGGGUUGUAAACCUCUUUCCUGGGGGACGAAACUGGCCGGACCCCCAGGAAAAAACCCCGGCCAACUCCUUGCCCCCACCCCCGGUAAACCCAAGGGGGGGAGGUUUUUCCGGAUUUAUGGGGCGAAAAGGGGCGGCAGGGGGUUUGUUAAUUCGGAGGUGAAACCCCCCGCUUAACCCGGGAGAGGCCCUCCAAACCGUCCCGGCUGAAGGCAGGAAAAGGGAGGGGGAAUUCCCGGGUGAGGGGGGAAAUGCUUAAAAAUCGGGAGAAAACCCCUUGGGAAAAGCGCCCCCCUGGCCC
This 344-nucleotide ribosomal RNA is filed under the name uncultured bacterium. Its description in RNAcentral is "partial 16S ribosomal RNA". It matches the Rfam family "Bacterial small subunit ribosomal RNA", at positions 372 to 735 of the family's 1533-position model. The record is from RNAcentral.